This 468-nucleotide ribosomal RNA is filed under the name uncultured bacterium. RNAcentral's name for it is "partial 16S ribosomal RNA". It matches the Rfam family "Bacterial small subunit ribosomal RNA", at positions 28 to 507 of the family's 1533-position model. The record is from RNAcentral.
GACGAACGUUGGCGGCGUGCUUAACACAUGCAAGUCGAACGGAAAGGCCCUGCUUUUGUGGGGUGCUCGAGUGGCGAACGGGUGAGUAACACGUGAGUAACCUGCCCUUGACUUUGGGAUAACUUCAGGAAACUGGGGCUAAUACCGGAUAGGAGCUCCUGCUGCAUGGUGGAGGUUGGAAAGUUUCGGCGGUUGGGGAUGGACUCGCGGCUUAUCAGCUUGUUGGUGGGGUAGUGGCUUACCAAGGCUUUGACGGGUAGCCGGCCUGAGAGGGUGACCGGCCACAUUGGGACUGAGAUACGGCCCAGACUCCUACGGGAGGCAGCAGUGGGGAAUAUUGCACAAUGGGCGGAAGCCUGAUGCAGCAACGCCGCGUGCGGGAUGACGGCCUUCGGGUUGUAAACCGCUUUCGCCUGUGACGAAGCGUGAGUGACGGUAAUGGGUAAAGAAGCACCGGCUAACUACGUG